AACGAACGCUGGCGGCAUGCCUAACACAUGCAAGUCGAACGAGACCUUCGGGUCUAGUGGCGCACGGGUGCGUAACGCGUGGGAAUCUGCCCUUGGGUUCGGAAUAACAGUUAGAAAUGACUGCUAAUACCGGAUGAUGGCUUCGGUCCAAAGAUUUAUCGCCCAGGGAUGAGCCCGCGUCGGAUUAGCUAGUUGGUAGGGUAAAGGCCUACCAAGGCGACGAUCCGUAGCUGGUCUGAGAGGAUGAUCAGCCACACUGGGACUGAGACACGGCCCAGACUCCUACGGGAGGCAGCAGUGGGGAAUAUUGGACAAUGGGCGAAAGCCUGAUCCAGCAAUGCCGCGUGAGUGAUGAAGGCCUUAGGGUUGUAAAGCUCUUUUACCCGGGAUGAUAAUGACAGUACCGGGAGAAUAAGCCCCGGCUAACUCCGUGCCAGCCGCCGCAGUAA
This 449-nucleotide ribosomal RNA is filed under the name uncultured bacterium. RNAcentral describes it as "partial 16S ribosomal RNA". It matches the Rfam family "Bacterial small subunit ribosomal RNA", at positions 29 to 523 of the family's 1533-position model. The record is from RNAcentral.